GGUGAGUAACACGUGACCAACCUGUCCUAGGGUGGGGGAUAACCUGGGGAAACCCGGACUAAUACCGCAUGAUGUCCUGUCAUCGCAUGGUGACUUGAUCAAAGAGAGCCUCUGCUUGCAAGCUCUCGCCCAAGGAGGGGGUCGCGACGUAUCAGCUAGUUGGUGGGGUAACGGCCUACCAAGGCUACGACGCGUAGCGGGUCUGAGAGGACGACCCGUCACAUUGGGACUGAGAUACGGCCCAGACUCC
Molecule: ribosomal RNA, 250 nt
Filed under: uncultured bacterium
Lineage: Bacteria
Description: partial 16S ribosomal RNA
Rfam family: Bacterial small subunit ribosomal RNA
Source: RNAcentral